AUACGUAGGUGGCAAGCGUUGUCCGGAUUUAUUGGGUUUAAAGGGUGCGUAGGCGGCCCCGUAAGUCAGUGGUGAAAUACCGCAGCUCAACUGUGGGGGUGCCAUUGAUACUGCGGGGCUUGAGUGGAGUCGGGGUGGCCGGAAUUUACGGUGUAGCGGUGAAAUGCAUAGAUACCGUAAAGAACACCGAUAGCGAAGGCAGGCCACUGGGCUCCAACUGACGCUGAGGCACGAAAGCGUGGGGAUC
Molecule: ribosomal RNA, 247 nt
Filed under: uncultured bacterium
Lineage: Bacteria
Description: partial 16S ribosomal RNA
Rfam family: Bacterial small subunit ribosomal RNA
Source: RNAcentral